This is a non-coding RNA of Chrysemys picta bellii (western painted turtle), 3872 nucleotides long. The record is from RefSeq and is a predicted model, not a curated record. Lineage: Eukaryota; Metazoa; Chordata; Testudines; Emydidae.
AGAGAGAGAGAGAGAGAGACUGCAGUGUCAGUGAAAGAUGGCAGGCCAGCAGCCCCGGUACUUAUCCAUACUCAACUUUCAAAUCGGUUAGUGGGACACAUUUGGCACUGCCUUCUGGAUAAUAGGAACAGCUGUAGCCAAUAUGGCUUCGGAAACAGCCAAACCACUGUUGAGAAAAUUAGAAUUUGUCAAUUUUCAAAAUUAGAAUGAAAUAAAAGUACAAACGAAUCAAUCUGUAAAGAACGAUAGAAACGUUUACCGUGCUUUUAAUCCUCAAAAUGUUUUGCAACUAGUCUCAGCUGGGUGAGUGUUAUCCCUCAUUGCACAGGUGGGCAAACUGAGGCAGAGAGGGGCAGCGAUAUGCCAAGCUGAUUGGAAAAAUGGCAAAAAAUCCAUCAUUUUUCCCCAUAAAACAAAUGUCAUCAUAAUUUUAAAUCUUUGCAAACCACUUCCUAGUGGUAGUGCUAUGCUGAAGGGAAGCAGCACUUACACGGCCUGCGCUGUGUGUUGGUGGGAUGGAGCGUGUACCCGACACAGGCUAUGCAUGGAUUAAAUGUGGCUGUGAGGCCAGUUCUGUUAGCGGGCUGCACCUGGAGGCAGAGCCAGGCUUAAUUGAUUAUGAGGCCCAGCUGGGCAGAAGCCUGGCUUGUACAAGGAGAAGAAGUUUGUAGCAGAAGGGGGCUGUAAUGGGGGAGUCUGCAGCCACCAUCUGGGAGCAGACAAAUGGUGAGGAGGAAACCAGGGGUGAAUAAACCCUGAAUCCUAGCCCUGGAAGAAGGGCCAACCCAGAGAAGUUGUGGGGAAAGGGAGCCUGGGAGAGGCUGGGUAGGAAGGAGCCCAGGGAAACAACAGCAAGGAGGGGGAUGGGGCAGACCGUGGCUGCUGGUUAUAGGCUCCCUGGGCUGGAACCCUGUGUAGAGGGAGGGCCUGGCUUCCUUACCAGCCACUGACCAAAGAGGCAUGAGCCCAGAGCCCGGGCUGGAGACCUGACACAACACCUAGGAAUUACUUGUUGGACUUUAUCAUCAAAUAUCGACAAACAUCGUCGCCUGGCAGGCGGGAAGCGAGGCCGCCACAGCACCGGAACAACUGUCAGCAGGGGGCACCGUAUGGGGAGAGAGCUGCUACGCCACCCCCGGCUCCAGCGCCGACAGUAAAUACGUGGUUCAGCGAUUCCUGACUGGGCCCUGGUGCAAAGUGAUGCCCUGCCCUUCCCCGGACCAGCAUCACAGCCGGGCUAGCUCCGAACUGAGAAAAUGGAUGUUGUGUGCUGAUGAAAGCACAGACUGGAGAAGGACAGGUUGUGCGAGAGCUGCAGAGCCAGCGUGAACAGCACCCAGAUUGCUGCAUGCAUAUCAAACACCAUCCAGAGCGACGGUAUAUAAAUAGCAUCUUAAUGAGGAGGCGCUUGGUUUAAACAGGCGUGCAUUGUUCCAAUGGGCUGACUCAACCAAGGACAGCGUAGGCUGUGGAGACAGAGCCCCCUUCCAAACCCUAAUGAUGACCCUUGGGAGUCGAGGGUGGAGGCACAGCUCUGGCUGCAGCGCUAGCCCUGGGAGGUAUAGUUUUGGCCUUCAACAUUCCCUGGCAGUGAGUUCCACAGGUUGACUCUGCUGUGUGAAGACAUAAUCAAGCUGCCUCUGUCUUGCGGAUAAACUCACAAAUUGAGCUCUUUAACUCUCUCCUGUAAGGCAUUUUUUUCCCCAUGUCUUAAUUUUUGUGGCUCUAUUCUGCACCCUCUCCAAUUUUUCAACAUCUUUUUUUAAAAACGUGGGACACCAGACCUGGUCAUGGUAUUCCCGCCUGGGUCUCAUUAAUGCCGUAUAGAGAGGUAAAGUCCCUGCCCUGUUUAUAUGCCCAAGGCCCGCAUUAGCCCUUUUUGCCACAGCAUUGCCCUGGGAGCUCAUGUUCACUUGUGUGACCCCCUAAAACCUUUUUUCAGCAUCACUUUUUCCAGGAUAUAGUCUCCCAUUCCUUGAUCCUAGCUGGGUGACCUUGUAUUGGGCUGUAUGAAAACUAGGAUGACCAGAUGUCCUAAUUUUACAGGGACAGUCCCGAUUUUUUUCUUAUAUAGGCUCCUAUUACCCCCUGUCCCAAUUUUUCACAUUUGCUGUCUGGUCACUCACCCUAAUGAAAACACAUUUUGUAGGAAUGGACCUAGUUUAGAAAGCAAUCUCUGACUGUCCCCCUCAUUCUUUACCACUCUGCAAAAUCCAUAAUCUUAUAAGCAGUGACUUUAUAUUUAUAUUUACCUCCAGAAAGCAGAUAAAAAUGUUGAAAAGCAUCGGGGACCAGCACCAAUCUUUGUGGAAUUCCACUAGAAACACCCUUUGUGAUUCCCCAAUAACAGCUACUUUUUUGACAUCUAGUUCCUGAUCCAUUUAAAGUGGGCUUCACAGGGGUAACUGAAUCAUUCAGCGGGGAUGUGCCUUUCCCCAGAUCACAUCACCAAAGCCCAGCACAGAACCCUGGCCUCCUGCCUCCCUGUCCCAUGGUUGUGCCCUUAGAGGAAGUUGUUUCUCUUAGAAUCAUCCUCUUCGACUUCUAAAGUCCUUGGGGCAGUGCAGCUGUACCCUUUGCUGUUUGCAUAGCUCCUGGCAUUCCCAGGGCACUGCUAGAAAUAAGUAAAUACUGAAUAAUCUAAUCAGAGAUCAGACAGGAGAGCCCUGCAAUCAUAUCUCACAUUCCUAUAGGCCCCCUUUAAGAUCUGGGUCAGCUGCUCCACACCCGAAUCUUCCAAUGUAGCUUUUCUUUUCUAUAUUUGAUCUUAGCUCGUCCCUCCUGUGCUUCUGUAUGGGGGAAAGUGUGUUAGCACCUUGGAGAAUUAAGGCCUAAACAUAAAAUUCCCCAUUCAGUUAGCGGCCAUUCUAGCAGAGUGUCAGAAUAAUGAGCAAUAGCCGAUCUCUGCACUCUUCCAGCUUUCAGACUGAUUUUAAGGCUUCCUAGCCAUAUAUAUCUAUGUACAGUCUAAAAUCGAUUCUGCCCAUCCCACAAAACUCUGUUUCAAUCUGGUGCUUCCACUGAUAAUUCAGAGAGCAGCCUUCUGUGCAGGGAGAGUGAAUGCACAGUGACAAGCCCUGGCUGGGAAUUUAAAGCGGUAUGGGUGGUGGGGGAAUAUCCCACCUCACCAAACCACUGUGCAAACAUCCAACAAACUGUCUGUUUGCAUUUCCCUUUAUCUUCUGCUCUAGUUGUGGGUCAGUUUUCUUUCCCUAUUUGUUUUGCUUGUUAGUCAUUUACAACAUGACGCUAACAAGACCGAGCUGCUCUUGGACACGGAGAACAGCAGAGGCAUGAAGGAGUUCAUCCUACCCAUGCAAGGUUGAGCCCAGGAAAUUCAUCCAGGAGGCUCCCCUGGGUUCUUCCAUUGGCAGUGGGGUUUACCCAUCCUGCAGGAGAAACCUUGGAUCAGGCCCAUGAAUGCCUAGUGUCUCCUGUGACUGCAGCAGCUCAGGUUCACACUUGCCACCCCCUCAUCCGAUUCAGCUCCCUGCCUGUGGCUGCCUCUCUCCCAACUUUUUCACAGGGCGGGUGGGUUCCCCGCUGUGGAUGAUGCAGCUGAAGAAAAGCACAGACUCAAGCUAGGAUAACUUCCCCAACAAUCCCCAUGGAGCAUGAUGUAUGAAUCCCUAGACUACUUCCUCAACCACAUAGAUCUCCAACUCUGGGCAAAUGGAGUGGAGGUGGCUGCAGCCCCAAACCCUACCAUCUCCCAUUUCUGCACAAGCAGGGGAAGAUCUGUGGAUGGCGGUUUCCCCUCCACACACUGGCUAUUGGCCCCCAGUUAUAAUAGGGUUACCAUACGUCCGGAUUUUCGGGCUCCAAAUCCCCAUCCGGGGGGAAAUCCCAAAAAGCCGGACAUGUCCGGGAAA